AGUAAUCUGCCUGGGAGCAGCAGAUACAUUCUCAUUGUUUGCCAUUUCCAGUUUCCAGUAAUGGGAACGAUUACUUGAUCCAGCCAGUUUCUGCUGAAGAUCUGGGAAAACAUACAAAUUUUAAUGGCAAAUUUUUAUUGGUUUCCAUAAAACGAGGGAAAAAAGCAUAACGUGGUUUUGGUACCUGGAGGCAUCACCUCUGAUAAUGAAUAUUGUUUUAUUUUGGAACUAAAGUGUCUGUUCUUCAGCAACGAGAUGUAUCUUGCUCUUCUGAUGGUUUUCUUGCAGUGUUCAGAACUUUAUGCUCAGAGGAAAGUUUUUACUUUCAACAAAGUUGAAAUCAGGGUUCAGCCGUCUGUCAAAGUGAAGAAUGGAGCUCCAAUGUCAGACUUU
Long non-coding RNA from Ficedula albicollis (Collared flycatcher), 393 nucleotides. RefSeq lists it as uncharacterized. The transcript is spliced from 3 exons. The record is from RefSeq and is a predicted model, not a curated record. NCBI's taxonomy places the organism in Eukaryota, Metazoa, Chordata, Aves, Passeriformes, Muscicapidae.